RNAcentral lists this long non-coding RNA (218 nucleotides) under Physcomitrium patens. RNAcentral describes it as "long non-coding RNA (PPAT_LNC004219)". Lineage: Eukaryota; Viridiplantae; Streptophyta; Bryopsida; Funariales; Funariaceae. The record is from RNAcentral.
AAUAUUAAAUUUUGAUAUCAAAUAAAAUAAAUUAUUUUCUCUUUAUGAAACUUUUUUUAAAAGAAAAUAGUAAUGUAAUGCAUGCAAGUAUUAUUUAAAUUUUUAAAAUAUAAAAAUAACCUUUUAAUUUAUUAAAUUUAUCUAUUCUAUUAUAACCAUUAUUAAAAAAUAGACCAUCUCUAAAAACCAUCAUUAAAAUUAUGGCUCUUAUUAUAAUC